RNAcentral lists this ribosomal RNA (252 nucleotides) under uncultured bacterium. RNAcentral's name for it is "partial 16S ribosomal RNA". It matches the Rfam family "Bacterial small subunit ribosomal RNA", at positions 524 to 776 of the family's 1533-position model. The record is from RNAcentral.
UACGAAGGGUGCGAGCGUUAAUCGGAAUUACUGGGCGUAAAGCGCGCGCAGGCGGUCUGCUAAGCCAGAUGUGAAAUCCCCGAGCUCAACUUGGGAACUGCGUUUGGAACUGUCAGACUAGAGUGCGUCAGAGGGGGUGGAAUUCCGCGUGUAGCAGUGAAAUGCGUAGAGAUGCGGAGGAACACCGAUGGCGAAGGCAGCCCCCUGGGAUGACACUGACGCUCAUGCAAGAAAGCGUGGGGAGCAAACAGG